GUAGGGUGCAAGCGUUUAAUCGGAAUUACUGGGGCGUAAAGCGUGCGCAGGCGGGGUUUUGUAAGUCUGUCGUGAAAAGCCCCCGGGGGCUCAACCUGGGGAAUUGCGAAUGGAGACUGCAAGGCUUGAAAUCUGGCAGAGGGGGGGUAGAAUUCCACGUGUAGCAGUGAAAUGCGUAGAGAUGUGGAGGAACACCGAUGGCGAAGGCAGCCCCCUGGGUCAAGAUUGACGCUCAUGCACGAAAGCGUGGGGAGCAAACAGGAUUAGAUACCCUGGUAGUCCACGCCCUAAACGAUGUCUACUAGUUGUCGGGUUUAAUUAACUUGGUAACGCAGCUAACGCGUGAAGUAGACCGCCUGGGGAGUACGGUCGCAAAGAUUA
This 381-nucleotide ribosomal RNA is filed under the name uncultured organism. RNAcentral's name for it is "partial 16S ribosomal RNA". It matches the Rfam family "Bacterial small subunit ribosomal RNA", at positions 527 to 896 of the family's 1533-position model. The record is from RNAcentral.